GAAGCCGGAAUUGCUAGUAAUGGCAGGUCAGCAUACUGCCGUGAAUACGUUCCCGGGCCUUGUACACACCGCCCGUCACACCAUGAGAGUUGGGAAUACCCGAAGCCUGUGAGCUAACUUUUAGAGGCAGCAGUCGAAGGUAGAAUCAAUGAUUGGGGUGAAGUCGUAACAAGGUAUC
RNAcentral lists this ribosomal RNA (178 nucleotides) under uncultured bacterium. RNAcentral describes it as "partial 16S ribosomal RNA". It matches the Rfam family "Bacterial small subunit ribosomal RNA", at positions 1322 to 1500 of the family's 1533-position model. The record is from RNAcentral.